This 796-nucleotide ribosomal RNA is filed under the name Streptomyces sp. ABS-89. Its description in RNAcentral is "bacterial SSU rRNA". It matches the Rfam family "Bacterial small subunit ribosomal RNA", at positions 39 to 852 of the family's 1533-position model. Lineage: Bacteria; Bacillati; Actinomycetota; Actinomycetes; Kitasatosporales; Streptomycetaceae. The record is from RNAcentral.
GCGGCGUGCUUACACAUGCAAAGUCGNACNAUGGAACCNCAUUUCGGGCGGGGAAUUAGUGGCGAACGGGUGAGUAACACGUGGGCAAUCUGCCCUGCACUCUGGGACAAGCCCUGGAAACGGGGUCUAAUACCGGAUAUGACUGUCCAUCGCAUGGUGGAUGGUGUAAAGCUCCGGCGGUGCAGGAUGAGCCCGCGGCCUAUCAGCUUGUUGGUGAGGUAGUGGCUCACCAAGGCGACGACGGGUAGCCGGCCUGAGAGGGCGACCGGCCACACUGGGACUGAGACACGGCCCAGACUCCUACGGGAGGCAGCAGUGGGGAAUAUUGCACAAUGGGCGAAAGCCUGAUGCAGCGACGCCGCGUGAGGGAUGACGGCCUUCGGGUUGUAAACCUCUUUCAGCAGGGAAGAAGCGAAAGUGACGGUACCUGCAGAAGAAGCGCCGGCUAACUACGUGCCAGCAGCCGCGGUAAUACGUAGGGCGCAAGCGUUGUCCGGAAUUAUUGGGCGUAAAGAGCUCGUAGGCGGCUUGUCACGUCGGUUGUGAAAGCCCGGGGCUUAACCCCGGGUCUGCAGUCGAUACGGGCAGGCUAGAGUUCGGUAGGGANAUCGNANUNCUGGUGUAGCGGUGAAAUGCGCANAUAUCAGGAGGAACACCGGUGGCGAAGGCGGAUCUCUGGGCCGAUACUGACGCUGAGNANCAAAGCGUGGGGAGCGAACAGGAUNNAUACCCUGGUAGUCCCNCCGUAAACGGNGGGCACUAGGUGUGGCAACNUUCCCGUUGUCCGUGCCGCACA